UACGUAGGGGGCAAGCGUUAUCCGGAUUUACUGGGUGUAAAGGGAGCGCAGACGGAUUUGCAAGUCUGAAGUGAAACUCCACGGCUCAACCGUGGACUUGCUUUGGAAACUGUAGAUCUAGAGUACUGGAGAGGUAAGCGGAACUCCUAGUGUAGCGGUGAAAUGCGUAGAUAUUAGGAGGAACAUCGGUGGCGAAGGCGGCUUACUGGACAGCAACUGACGUUGAGGCUCGAAGGCGUGGGGAGCAAAC
Molecule: ribosomal RNA, 250 nt
Filed under: uncultured prokaryote
Description: partial 16S ribosomal RNA
Rfam family: Bacterial small subunit ribosomal RNA
Source: RNAcentral